RNAcentral lists this ribosomal RNA (437 nucleotides) under uncultured bacterium. Its description in RNAcentral is "bacterial SSU rRNA". It matches the Rfam family "Bacterial small subunit ribosomal RNA", at positions 29 to 464 of the family's 1533-position model. The record is from RNAcentral.
AUUGAACGCUGGCGGCAUGCCUUACACAUGCAAGUCGAGCGGCAGCGCGGGGGCAACCCUGGCGGCGAGCGGCGGACGGGUGAGUAAUACAUCGGAACGUGUCCUUUCGUGGGGGAUAACCAGUCGAAAGACUGGCUAAUACCGCAUGAGAUCUCACGAUGAAAGCGGGGGACCGCAAGGCCUCGCGCGAUUGGAGCGGCCGAUGUCGGAUUAGCUAGNGGCGGGGGUAAAAGCCCACCAAGGCGACGAUCCGUAGCUGGUUUGAGAGAACGACCAGCCACACUGGGACUGAGAUACGGCCCAGACUCCUACGGGAGGCAGCAGUGAGGAAUAUUGGUCAAUGGCCGAAAGGCUGAACCAGCAACGCCGCGUGAGGGAUGAAGAUCUAAGGAUCGUAAACCUCUGUUAGAAGGGACGAAUAACCCCAUGGUGAAUAA